This 489-nucleotide ribosomal RNA is filed under the name uncultured bacterium. RNAcentral describes it as "partial 16S ribosomal RNA". It matches the Rfam family "Bacterial small subunit ribosomal RNA", at positions 355 to 834 of the family's 1533-position model. The record is from RNAcentral.
UGGGGAAUAUUGCACAAUGGGCGCAAGCCUGAUGCAGCCAUGCCGCGUGUGUGAAGAAGGCCUUCGGGUUGUAAAGCACUUUCAGCGAGGAGGAAGGUGGUGAGCUUAAUACGCUCAUCAAUUGACGUUACUCGCAGAAGAAGCACCGGCUAACUCCGUGCCAGCAGCCGCGGUAAUACGGAGGGUGCAAGCGUUAAUCGGAAUUACUGGGCGUAAAGCGCACGCAGGCGGUUUGUUAAGUCAGAUGUGAAAUCCCCGGGCUCAACCUGGGAACUGCAUUUGAAACUGGCAAGCUAGAGUCUCGUAGAGGGGGGUAGAAUUCCAGGUGUAGCGGUGAAAUGCGUAGAGAUCUGGAGGAAUACCGGUGGCGAAGGCGGCCCCCCUGGACGAAGACUGACGCUCAGGUGCGAAAGCGUGGGGCAGCAAACAGGAUUAGAUACCCUGGUAGUCCACGCUGUAAACGAUGUCGAUUUGGAGGUUGUGCCCCUU